GACGAGCGCUGGCGGCGUGCUUAACACAUGCAAGUCGAACGGAAAGGCCCUGCUUUUGUGGGGUGCUCGAGUGGUGAACGGGUGAGUAACACGUGAGUAACCUGCCCUUGACUUUGGGAUAACUUCAGGAAACUGGGGCUAAUACCGGAUAGGAGCUCCUGCUGCAUGGUGGGGGUUGGAAAGUUUCGGCGGUUGGGGAUGGACUCGCGGCUUAUCAGCUUGUUGGUGGGGUAGUGGCUUACCAAGGCUUUGACGGGUAGCCGGCCUGAGAGGGUGACCGGCCACAUUGGGACUGAGAUACGGCCCAGACUCCUACGGGAGGCAGCAGUGGGGAAUAUUGCACAAUGGGCGGAAGCCUGAUGCAGCAACGCCGCGUGCGGGAUGACGGCCUUCGGGUUGUAAACCGCUUUCGCCUGUGACGAAGCGUGAGUGACGGUAAUGGGUAAAGAAGCACCGGCUAACUACGUG
This 468-nucleotide ribosomal RNA is filed under the name uncultured bacterium. RNAcentral's name for it is "partial 16S ribosomal RNA". It matches the Rfam family "Bacterial small subunit ribosomal RNA", at positions 28 to 507 of the family's 1533-position model. The record is from RNAcentral.